This 277-nucleotide long non-coding RNA is filed under the name Trifolium pratense (red clover). RNAcentral describes it as "long non-coding RNA (TPRA_LNC008777)". Lineage: Eukaryota; Viridiplantae; Streptophyta; Magnoliopsida; Fabales; Fabaceae. The record is from RNAcentral.
AUGUAAAGCAUUAAGCACAAGGAAUAAUUGAAGAAACUAACUUCGUAAUUCAUUGAUCAUAACAUAUGAUAAUCACAUGAUUCAAGAUAAAUUGAAAUUAGAAUUCCCUAAGGACCAAUCAUAAAAAAUUUAGCUAGACAUAAUAUUCAAAGAAACAAGGAUGAUUAAAAGGGAUAAACCAAAGAUGGAUUGCUUUGAAUUUGUCCACUCUUCACGUGCCUUCCUUUGUUUCUUCAAUUCAUCAUUCCAUGAAGCCAAGCCAGCUCCUCUCUGUUCC